This is a long non-coding RNA of Melanotaenia boesemani (Boeseman's rainbowfish), 1564 nucleotides long. RefSeq lists it as uncharacterized. The transcript is spliced from 8 exons. NCBI's taxonomy places the organism in Eukaryota, Metazoa, Chordata, Actinopteri, Atheriniformes, Melanotaeniidae. The record is from RefSeq and is a predicted model, not a curated record.
ACACUCGCUAACAUUAGCUAAUAAUAGCUAACAUUAGCUAACACUCGCUAACAUUAGCUAAUAAUAGCUAACAUUAGCUAACACUAGCUAACAGUAGCUAACAGACACAAACAGCUGCAGGAAUCUUAUUAAAUCACACAGUGAAUAAUGAAGCUGUCAGAAGCUCAUUGAUGGACGUUUCUGUCCAUCCUGGUCUCUGAUGCCCAUUGGCAUCAUAACUAGGAAGCUUUGGUCUUAUUUACAUUUUUAUUUCUUCAUCUUCAAACUGUUUAGAUUUAAACUUGUUAAAUGAGUUGUAGGCUGGCUUCUCUUCCUCGUGAUACAGAACGGAGCUGCUUCCCACUGGAUCAGGAACUGUCCAUCAACAGCAUUACAGCGGGGUUACCUGAGGACAGAUCUGUCGGUGAAAACAUAGAAAUAGCAGAUCAGUUACUGAACCAUUUCAACAACCAUCAACCAAUAUAUCUGUGUGAUAAUAGAUUAUUUCUCAAAGUGGCCACAAACCUACCCAAUUAAAUCCAAACAGGCUGAUGAGGUUGCUGAGCAGAUACUUAAAUUUGUGUAUCAGUUUGAGGCACCAAAGAGAACCCUCACCAACCAAGGCAGCACAUUUCUUAAUGAGAUAAAUAGGAGCGUUUGUGCCAAACUAGGAGUUCAGAGAAGCCUUUGUGCUCCUUAUCAUUCCCAGACUAAUGGUCUGGUAGAAAGAAUGAAUGGAACCAUUCAAAAGGCCCUCUGCAAACUGCUUGAACAAAGACCAGAGAGAUGGGAUGAAUAUUUGGAUCCAAUCAUGUUCGCAAUGCGAACCAAAAAACAAAAAACAACCAAAUAUUCUCCGUACUUUCUAAUGUUUGGCAGGGGAACAUGUUAUCCUCCUCGGGCUGCACAUGAAUUAGAACGUCUGCUUAUUUAUUUUAAGAUGUUGAUGAGGUGUGGUCGAGAAAACUACAAAAUUCCCACUUGAUCCUCUCAAAGAUUGGUGCUUAUAAAUUAUUUACCUGGGACAUUUCAAGGCUUGCUCCCAGCCAAGAACUGGAGAGUGAGAUUGACCCAUUGAAGUACGAGAUAAUAAUGUGAAUUUUUAAUGAAGAUCACCACUGGAUGUUAACGGUCAUUUAUCCAUCAGAAAAAAAAUCUCUGUUUCUGGAUCCUCUGGGAGAAUCACAAGUGAAGACAAAAAGAUGUCUAGAAACAACAAAGGCAUUCAUGCAGAAGAGAGGCUGCAAUGUGUCAAGGUGGGUAUGUGGCACUUUACCACACGGAACCCAGAGAGAUGGGGUGUCAUGUGGUGUUUUUGUCUUAAAGGUGAGUAAUUACUUUUAUUGCAAAAAUUUAAAACAUCACUAGAUGAAGUUAUUAAGUCCCCUGUUUUUGCCAUGUUUGUAUGUUUGGUAUUUUCACUGUAAUCAAACACUUAUACUUUUAUACCAACUUACUCACCCAUCUGUCCUCAGUUUGCUGAGUCUAUCCAUCCAUCCAUCCAUUCUCUUCCGCUUAUCCGGAGUCGGGUCGCGGGGGCAGCUGCCUAAGCAGGGAAACCCAGACUUCCCUCUCCCCGGCCACA